RNAcentral lists this non-coding RNA (31 nucleotides) under Mus musculus (house mouse). Lineage: Eukaryota; Metazoa; Chordata; Mammalia; Rodentia; Muridae. The record is from RNAcentral.
UAUGUGGAAUGGGUGACCAGGACCUCGGGCU